Cyclopterus lumpus (lumpfish) is the source of this 295-nucleotide long non-coding RNA. RefSeq lists it as uncharacterized. The record is from RefSeq and is a predicted model, not a curated record. NCBI's taxonomy places the organism in Eukaryota, Metazoa, Chordata, Actinopteri, Perciformes, Cyclopteridae. The transcript has 3 exons.
UUAAGUCUCAUGGAUAGAUGCUUAAUGCUGGCUGGAAAAAAACAGAAAUGGAAAAAAAAUGUAAUCAACCGGUGGGAUGGAACAGGAAAGCCAGUUCAGAGCAGCAGAAGUGCCAAUGGAGAUGCAAUGCAAGAAUAUGGCUGAGUGGGCAGCGUCAGUCAUGCUUGCUAGUUAUCAGGGGGCCCCCAAAGCUCCGAGUGCUCUCAGAGACAGACUGGACCGGCUGGACCUCACCAUGGCAACCACACUCAUCAAGCAUUACCCAGGACGCUUGUUGCUUUGAUGAGACUUUCCC